This 540-nucleotide ribosomal RNA is filed under the name uncultured Geobacteraceae bacterium. RNAcentral describes it as "bacterial SSU rRNA". It matches the Rfam family "Bacterial small subunit ribosomal RNA", at positions 9 to 526 of the family's 1533-position model. The record is from RNAcentral. Lineage: Bacteria; Pseudomonadati; Thermodesulfobacteriota; Desulfuromonadia; Geobacterales; Geobacteraceae.
GAGUUUGAUCCUGGCUCAGAACGAACGCUGGCGGCGUGCCUAACACAUGCAAGUCGAACGUGAUCCAGAGCUUGCUCUGGUGAAAGUGGCGCACGGGUGAGUAACGCGUGGAUAACCUACCCUGGUAUCCGGGAUAACAUUCCAAAAGGGGUGCUAAUACCGGAUAAGCCCACGGGCUCUUUGGAGCUUGCGGGAAAAGGUGGCCUCUAUUUAUAAGCUACUGUAUCAGGAUGGGUCCGCGUACCAUUAGCUAGUUGGCGGUGUAACGGACCACCAAGGCGACGAUGGUUAGCUGGUCUGAGAGGAUGAUCAGCCACACUGGAACUGAGACACGGUCCAGACUCCUACGGGAGGCAGCAGUGGGGAAUUUUGCGCAAUGGGGGAAACCCUGACGCAGCAACGCCGCGUGAGUGAUGAAGGCCUUUGGGUCGUAAAGCUCUGUCAGAGGGGAAGAAAUGAUAUAGUGCUAAUACCACUUUAUCUUGACGGUACCCUCAAAGGAAGCACCGGCUAACUCCGUGCCAGCAGCCGCGGUAAUAC